This 1110-nucleotide ribosomal RNA is filed under the name Bjerkandera sp. Y-HHM2. Its description in RNAcentral is "eukaryotic LSU rRNA". The stretch from base 473 to 1110 matches the Rfam family "Eukaryotic large subunit ribosomal RNA", at positions 1 to 624 of the family's 3401-position model. The record is from RNAcentral. Lineage: Eukaryota; Fungi; Basidiomycota; Agaricomycetes; Polyporales; Phanerochaetaceae.
GCACUUUUCAUAGGCCGGCUCAAGGGUGGUGCGCGAAAGCGCACGCUCGAAGGCUCAGGCUUAUGCUUUACAACAAACGGAUUCAGUUAUAGAAUGUCUUACUUGCGAUAACGCAAUUAUAUACAACUUUCAGCAACGGAUCUCUUGGCUCUCGCAUCGAUGAAGAACGCAGCGAAAUGCGAUAAGUAAUGUGAAUUGCAGAAUUCAGUGAAUCAUCGAAUCUUUGAACGCACCUUGCGCUCCUUGGUAUUCCGAGGAGCAUGCCUGUUUGAGUCUCAUGGAAUUCUCAACCCUUCAACUUUAUUGAUGAAGGCUUGGACUUGGAGGUCGUGUCGGCUCUAGUAGUCGACUCCUCUGAAAUGCAUUAGUGCGAACGUUACCAGCCGCUUCAGCGUGAUAAUUAUCUGCGUUGCUGCGGAGGGUAAGUGAGUGUUCGCGCUUCUAACCGUCUUCGGACAACAUUUCUGAACUCUGAGCUCAAAUCAGGUAGGACUACCCGCUGAACUUAAGCAUAUCAAUAAGCGGAGGAAAAGAAACUAACAAGGAUUCCCCUAGUAACUGCGAGUGAAGCGGGAAAAGCUCAAAUUUAAAAUCUGGCGGUCUUCGGCCGUCCGAGUUGUAAUCUGGAGAAGCGUUUUCCGCGCCGGACCGUGUACAAGUCUCUUGGAACAGAGCGUCAUAGAGGGUGAGAAUCCCGUCUUUGACACGGACUACCGGUGCUAUGUGAUGCGCUCUCGAUGAGUCGAGUUGUUUGGGAAUGCAGCUCAAAAUGGGUGGUAAAUUCCAUCUAAAGCUAAAUAUUGGCGAGAGACCGAUAGCGAACAAGUACCGUGAGGGAAAGAUGAAAAGCACUUUGGAAAGAGAGUUAAACAGUACGUGAAAUUGCUGAAAGGGAAACGAUUGAAGUCAGUCGCGUGUGCUAGAACUCAGCCUUGCUUUUGCUUGGUGCAUUUUCUAGUGUACGGGCCAGCAUCAGUUUUGGCUGCCGGAAAAAGGCCUGGGGAAUGUGGCACCUUCGGGUGUGUUAUAGCCCUGGGUUGUAUCGGUGGCUGGGACUGAGGAACUCAGCACGCCUUUAUGGCGGGGCUUCGGCCACCUUCUUGCUUGGAU